CGUCCAGACUCCUACGGGAGGCAGCAGUGAGGAAUAUUGGUCAAUGGGCUUACGCCUGAACCAGCCAAGUCGCGUGAGGGAAGACUGCCCUAUGGGUUGUAAACCUCUUUUGUCAGGGAGCAAUUGGCGCUACGUGUAGCGUUAUCGAGAGUACCUGAAGAAAAAGCAUCGGCUAACUCCGUGCCAGCAGCCGCGGUAAUACGGAGGAUGCGAGCGUUAUCCGGAUUUAUUGGGUUUAAAGGGUGCGUAGGCGGAAUGCCAAGUCAGCGGUAAAAUCGCGGGGCUCAACCUCGCUCCGCCGUUGAAACUGGCGUUCUUGAGUGGGCGAGAAGUAUGCGGAAUAAAAAAAAAAAAAAAAAAAAAAAAAAAAAAAAAGCAGAACUCCGAUUGCGAAGGCAGCAUACCGGCGCCCAACUGACGCUGAAGCACGAAAGCGUGGGUAUCGAACAGGAUUAGAUACCCGUGUAAU
RNAcentral lists this ribosomal RNA (469 nucleotides) under uncultured bacterium. RNAcentral's name for it is "partial 16S ribosomal RNA". It matches the Rfam family "Bacterial small subunit ribosomal RNA", at positions 328 to 794 of the family's 1533-position model. The record is from RNAcentral.